AGCUGGGCUGGAAUAUCAAUUAUCUCACAUGGAAAAAUGAAAAACAGAAUAAAGAAUUAAAAGGAAGAAGAGGAUAAUGAUGAUGGCAACAUUGAAGGGAGGCAAGAAAGGAUUUCUACAUGCACUGUCAAUUUGAUUAAAAUGCUUCCUGGAUAAUCUCCUACCUGAUUUCAUCGCAUGAUCCAACUCACAGCCCAUAAUCAAACCAAGAAAUUGGCUACAAAAGAAUCUUUGGAAUGCCAGCUUAUGCACGGAAUGCCAACACAUGAUAAGUUACAAUUAGAAUGCUGUUUCUUCUUCAAGAUCCUUAUUCAUCAGAGUUCCUACUUCUGACUGCCAAGGUAAAGUCAGCAUCUUGUACGAUUUCCUUGAUAUCUAGCUCCCUAGACUAGCAUAUUUAAGUCCUGGAACUCAAUUCUACCAUUCUGGUAGUUCCUCGCAUACCUUUUUUGACAGAUUAAUUAUUACUAAAUUGGUUUAAUCUAUUUUACAGCAUUAUAGAAUAUUUUUUGGGGAUAGGGUUGUGAAACAUCACCUUCUGUUUCAUUGAUAGAACUACCGAGGACAACUAAUUGUUAGGUAUCUUACCUCCAGUACUACUCA
Coffea eugenioides is the source of this 603-nucleotide long non-coding RNA. RefSeq lists it as uncharacterized. Lineage: Eukaryota; Viridiplantae; Streptophyta; Magnoliopsida; Gentianales; Rubiaceae. The record is from RefSeq and is a predicted model, not a curated record. The transcript is spliced from 2 exons.